CAAGUCGAACGGCAGCGGGGGCUUCGGCCUGCCGGCGAGUGGCGAACGGGUGAGUAAUGCAUCGGAACGUACCCAGUCGUGGGGGAUAACUACGCGAAAGCGUAGCUAAUACCGCAUACGCCCUGAGGGGGAAAGCGGGGGACCUUCGGGCCUUGCGCUAUCAGAUGAGCCUAGGUCGGAUUAGCUAGUUGGUGAGGUAAUGGCUCACCAAGGCGACGAUCCGUAACUGGUCUGAGAGGAUGAUCAGUCACACUGGAACUGAGACACGGUCCAGACUCCUACGGGAGGCAGCAGUGGGGAAUAUUGGACAAUGGGCGAAAGCCUGAUCCAGCCAUGCCGCGUGUGUGAAGAAGGUCUUCGGAUUGUAAAGCACUUUAAGUUGGGAGGAAGGGCAGUAACUUAAUACGUUGCUGUUUUGACGUUACCGACAGAAUAAGCACCGGCUAACUCUGUGCCAGCAGCCGCGGUAAUA
RNAcentral lists this ribosomal RNA (472 nucleotides) under uncultured bacterium. RNAcentral's name for it is "bacterial SSU rRNA". It matches the Rfam family "Bacterial small subunit ribosomal RNA", at positions 58 to 525 of the family's 1533-position model. The record is from RNAcentral.